Molecule: ribosomal RNA, 525 nt
Filed under: uncultured bacterium
Lineage: Bacteria
Description: bacterial SSU rRNA
Rfam family: Bacterial small subunit ribosomal RNA
Source: RNAcentral
UGGGGAAUCUUGGACAAUGGGGGCAACCCUGAUCCAGCCAUGCCGCGUGAGUGAUGAAGGCCUUAGGGUCGUAAAGCUCUUUCGCCUGUGAAGAUAAUGACGGUAGCAGGUAAAGAAACCCCGGCUAACUCCGUGCCAGCAGCCGCGGUAAUACGGAGGGGGUUAGCGUUGUUCGGAAUUACUGGCGUAAAGCGCACGUAGGCGGACCAGAAAGUUGGGGGUGAAAUCCCGGGGGCUCAACCCCGGAACUGCCUCCAAAACUAUUGGUCUAGAGUUCGAGAGAGGUGAGUGGAAUUCCAAGUGUAGAGGUGAAAUUCGUAGAUAUUAGGUGGAACACCAGUGGCGAAGGCGGCUCACUGGCUCGAUACUGACGCUGAGGUGCGAAAGUGUGGGGAGCAAACAGGAUUAGAUACCCUGGUAGUCCACACCGUAAACGAUGAAUGCCAGUCGUCGGGUAGCAUGCUAUUCGGUGACACACCUAACGGAUUAAGCAUUCCGCCUGGGGAGUACGGUCGCAGAUUAAAA